AGAGGACAGUCUCACGGUCCCCAAGCCCAGAGACCACUGGGAGGGGAGCAACUGGGGUCUGGACCACCGACCUUAGCUUCACCUCAAGAACACCUGCCUCGCUGGAGGCAGACUGGAGCUGGCUGUGGACUUUAUUUCUCAGGAGAAGGAGGCGGGAGCUGGACAGAGUGACGCGUGCGUCUUUCCGGCUUUUCCUUGGCCACCUGGAUGGCAUGGGAGCUGGGAGGCAGAGUUCUGCUGAGCUGUAGGACCGAAGGCCACUGGCUCCCCUGCACCUGCGGAGUGAGACGCCCACCUGCUGAGACCCAGCCUCUGCGUGCUUAGGGGUCCCCUGCUACAGGGCAUUGAGGUGAGGUCCACUUUUGCCCAGUGUGAGAGUGCUGCUUUCAGAGCUUUGAGAAGGCUGUUAUCAUUUGUUUCUUUUUGAACUUGCCACCUCCCCACUUAGAGAAUAUUUCUGGGGACAGAGUUUCGUAACUCCUGCCGCAUAGUUGGUGCCUGCUCUCGACUACAUUAAAUCUAUCUUCAGGGCC
This 533-nucleotide small RNA is filed under the name Pongo abelii (Sumatran orangutan). Its description in RNAcentral is "retained intron". The record is from RNAcentral. Lineage: Eukaryota; Metazoa; Chordata; Mammalia; Primates; Hominidae.